GAGUUUGAUCGUGGCUCAGGACGAACGCUGGCGGCGUGCUUAACACAUGCAAGUCGAGCGGAAAGGCCCUUUCGGGGGUACUCGAGCGGCGAACGGGUGAGUAACACGUGAGCAACCUGCCCCUUGCUUUGGGAUAACCCUCGGAAACGGGGGCUAAUACCGAAUGGUCACCACUGGUCGCAUGGUUGGUGGUGGAAAGUUUUUCGGCUGGGGAUGGGCUCGCGGCCUAUCAGCUUGUUGGUGAGGUGAUGGCCUACCAAGGCGACGACGGGUAGCCGGCCUGAGAGGGCGACCGGCCACACUGGGACUGAGACACGGCCCAGACUCCUACGGGAGGCAGCAGUGGGGAAUAUUGCACAAUGGGCGGAAGCCUGAUGCAGCGACGCCGCGUGAGGGAAGACGGCCUCGGUUGUAACCUCUUUCAGAUCCGACGAAGACGCAAGUGACGGUAGGGUCGAGAAGAAGACGCCGGCCAAC
This 477-nucleotide ribosomal RNA is filed under the name uncultured Actinomycetes bacterium. RNAcentral describes it as "bacterial SSU rRNA". It matches the Rfam family "Bacterial small subunit ribosomal RNA", at positions 9 to 501 of the family's 1533-position model. The record is from RNAcentral. Lineage: Bacteria; Bacillati; Actinomycetota; Actinomycetes.